Molecule: long non-coding RNA, 293 nt
Filed under: Phoenix dactylifera (date palm)
Lineage: Eukaryota; Viridiplantae; Streptophyta; Magnoliopsida; Arecales; Arecaceae
Description: long non-coding RNA (PDAC_LNC016120)
Source: RNAcentral
UAUUAUUAAAGAAAAUUCAGAACUUAAGACAAGCAACCAAAUCUUAAUUCAAAAGACUAAUACCUUAACUAAAGAUAACGAAAGGCUGAACAAAGAAAUAUUAGAACUUAAAAACAAUAAACAAAUCUUAAAAGAGAGUCUCACAAAAGACCUAAAUGGACUAAAAACAGAAAAGGCAAAAAUUGACACUAGAACUUGAAAAGUACAAGCCUUUUGUAGAAAAAUUUACAUAUAGCUCAGAAAAAUUAGAAAUGAUACUUAAUAGUCAACGAGCUGUGUUCAAUAGGGCUGGU